CCCUUCCUUCGGCCCCGCCCAGCCCCGCCGGCCGCCCGCUCCCUGGGGAACCGAGGGAGGAAUGGGCGGGGUCCUCAGCUGAACAGGAAAAGGAACAGUCCUUCCAAAGUGCCUACGGAAAGCUUUGUCCCAUCCUUGAAAAAUUGCUAAUGGGUUUGGAGAUACGAGGUGGAGAUGACUAGCAAUCAAACUCAAAGGUGGAAGUCACAUCGAGGCAGAUGAGCAGAUGAGGGGACCUAGAGAAGAAGAGAGGUGCAAGGAGAGCCCAGCCAGCAGGAACAUCUGCCCCAGUAGGCAGCACUGCCCCACAUCAGAGUCGAGGAAAGCAAAGCUCGGAUUGGAUAAAAGAAACUUGCAAACACGGUCAGUGCUUACUGCAUGUGGGCUCAGAGCACGUUACCCUCCUUCCCUGCAUGUUCCUGUGAAACGGGUUUACUGCUCUAACUCUCAGGGACACUGUGAAGACCAAACGAGAAAAUAGAAACAAACAUAAUUUAUAAACCAUAAAGUACUGACACCAAAAGAGGGGCGAGCACAGCAUUGUGAAUGUGCUGGUACUAAAUGGUUUGUUUUAAGAUGAUUUUAUGGUGUGUGAAUUUCACUUGAAUAAAUUUUUUUAAUGGAGUUCAUGGGGACGCUGCAGGAUGUCAAUUAACUUUGGACAUUUUAGCAGCGCUUUAGGUGUUAAAAUUAUUUUUUAAAAAAUACAGGAUGAAGGGAAAAGCUUCAUGACAUUGGAUUUGGCAGUGAUUCCUUGGAUAUGACCCCAAAAGCACAGAUAACGAAAGAAAAAAUAGUUAAAUUGUCUUCAUCAAAAUUAAAACUUUUGUACAUCAAAGAACUCUUUCAAAAGAGUGAAAAAGUCACAGAAUAAGAGAAAAUCAUAUACCUGAUAAAGAAUUAAUAUUCAGAGCCAGAUGCAGUGGCUCAUGCCUGUAAUCCCAGCACUUUGGGAGGCCAAGGCAGGCAGAUCACUUGAGAUCAGGAGUUCGAGACAAGCCUGGCUAAAAUGGUGAAACCCCAGCUCUACUAAAAAUACAAAAAUUAGCCAGGCGUGGUGGCGUGCACCUGGAAUCCCAGCUAUUCGGGAGGCUGAGGCAGGAGAAUCGCUUGAACUCAGAAGGCAGAGGUUGCAGUGAGCCAAGAUCACACCACUGCACUCCAGCCUGGGCGACAAAGUGAGACUCCAUCUCAAAAAAACAAAACAAAACAAAACAAAACAAAGAGUUACUAUUCAGAAUAUAUUAAGAAUUCCUACAACUCAACAACAAAAAAAAAUCCAACCCAAUUAAAAAAUGGGCAACAGACCCAAAUAGACAUUUCUUAGAAGACACACAAAUGGCCAAUAAGCUCAUGAAAACAUGUUUAACAUCACUAAUCAUUAGGGAAAUGCAAAUCAAAGCUAAAAUGAGAUACCACGUCACACUCAUUAGGUGUUAUUUUUUAAAAAUAACACAACAACAAAAAAUAAGAAAUGUGGGCGAGGAUGUGAAGAAAUUGAAACCCUUGUGGACUGUUGUUGGGGAUGUAAAAUGGCGCAGCUGCUGGGGAAAACAGUAUGGGAGUUCCUCACAAAACUAAACAGAAUUGCCAAACGACCCAGCGAUCCUGCCUCUGACAUAUACUGGAAAGAACUGAAAUAAGGCGCUGGAACAGACACUUGUAACCCAUGUUCACAGCUGAGCCAAAAGGUGGGAGUAACCCAAAUGUCCAUCAGUGGAUGAAUACUGGCAAUAAAAGCUGUGUCUGGAGGCCACUCCGUUUCACACAGCUCUCCACACGGGUGAGGGCACAGCCUUCUCGUCUCUUUCCUAUGCUGCAUCUUCAGAGCUAGCUAUGAUAUGAUAUGAUGUGAUAUGUACAUAUCGAAUAUACAUGUUUUACAUGCAAA
RNAcentral lists this long non-coding RNA (1891 nucleotides) under Homo sapiens (human). RNAcentral describes it as "DENND3 antisense RNA 1, transcript variant 2 (DENND3-AS1)". The record is from RNAcentral. Lineage: Eukaryota; Metazoa; Chordata; Mammalia; Primates; Hominidae.